GCUUGUCUCAAAGAUUAAGCCAUGCAUGUUUAAGUAUAGCUUUUAUACGGUGAAACUGCGAAUGGCUCAUUAAAUCAGUUAUUGUUUAUUUGAUAUUGACUUUACUACUGGAUAUCCGUGGUAAUUCUAGAGCUAAUACAAUACUAUAUAGCCCCGACUUCUGGAAGGGGUGUAUUUAUUAGAUAACAAGCCAACCGAGGCAACUCGUUCUAUGGUGAAUCAUGAUAAAUCUCCGAUCGGUCUUUGACCGACUAGUCAUUCAAAUAUCUGCCCUAUCAACUUUCGACGGUAAGGUAGAGGCUUACCGUGGUGAUAACGGGUAACGGGGAAUUAGGGUUCGAUUCCGGAGAGGGAGCCUGAGAAACGGCUACCACAUCCAAGGAAGGCAGCAGG
RNAcentral lists this ribosomal RNA (393 nucleotides) under uncultured fungus. RNAcentral's name for it is "partial small subunit ribosomal RNA". It matches the Rfam family "Eukaryotic small subunit ribosomal RNA", at positions 30 to 432 of the family's 1831-position model. The record is from RNAcentral. Lineage: Eukaryota; Fungi.